GUUGCUGUAGCUCAGGGGAUAGAGCACUUGCCUCCGAAGCAAGGGGCCGCUGGUUCAAUUCCAGUCAGCAACG
Molecule: transfer RNA, 73 nt
Filed under: Lachnospiraceae bacterium
Lineage: Bacteria; Bacillati; Bacillota; Clostridia; Lachnospirales; Lachnospiraceae
Description: tRNA-Arg
Rfam family: tRNA
About the family: Transfer RNA (tRNA) molecules are approximately 80 nucleotides in length. Their secondary structure includes four short double-helical elements and three loops (D, anti-codon, and T loops).
Source: RNAcentral